ACGGUACCGGCAGAAGAAGCACCGGCUAACUACGUGCCAGCAGCCGCGGUAAUACGUAGGGUGCGAGCGUUAAUCGGAAUUACUGGGCGUAAAGCGUGCGCAGGCGGUUAUGUAAGACAGAUGUGAAAUCCCCGGGCUCAACCUGGGAACUGCGUUUGUGACUGCAUAACUAGAGUACGGCAGAGGAAGGUGGAAUUCCGCGUGUAGCAGUGAAAUGCGUAGAGAUGCGGAGGAACACCGAUGGCGAAGGCAGCCUCCUGGGCCAGUACUGACGCUCAUGCACGAAAGCGUGGGGAGCAAACAGGAUUAGAUACCCUGGUAGUCCACGCCCUAAACGAUGUCAACUAGUUGUUCGGUGAGGAGACUCAUUGAGUAACGCAGCUAACGCGUGAAGUUGACCGCCUGGGGAGUACGGCCGCAAGGUUAAAACUCAAAGGAAUUGACGGGGACCCGCACAAGCGGUGGAUGAUGUGGAUUAAUUCGAUGCAACGCGAAAAACCUUACCUACCCUUGACAUGCCAGGAACUUGCCAGAGAUGGCUUGGUGCUCGAAAG
This 554-nucleotide ribosomal RNA is filed under the name uncultured bacterium. Its description in RNAcentral is "bacterial SSU rRNA". It matches the Rfam family "Bacterial small subunit ribosomal RNA", at positions 472 to 1024 of the family's 1533-position model. The record is from RNAcentral.